GGAGCUUGCCAAGAGCAGAGAUCGCGCCACUGCACUCCAGCCUGGGUGACAGAGCGAGACUCCGUCUCAAAAAAAAAAAAAAAAAGAAGUUUUUAUCAGGGAUUUUUAAACUGUUAUUGCAUGUUAAAGAUAUCCAUAUGCCCAAUAAAUGACUCUUACUUAUUCAACUCAUAGGAAUGUGUUUAUUUCAAUGAUGGAAAUACAGACAUGAUUGCACAGGAAGAUAAAGUGGGCAUGUAACAUGGCUUCAGAUGUUAGAAAAUUUUUGCAUGGAUAAAUUAUCUUGUGACUGCUAUGUUGGUGUAGUUACUUAUUUCAAGAAAAAAAUUAUCAGCAAGAACAAUAUACAUUGUAAAAGAGACCUUGGAUUUUUGUUUAUUUAUUAUAGGCACCAUGAGUUUGCCAAAAUUAAAACAAUCUUAGUGUGUAUAAGUGCAGUAACGUUGUUGCACAGGAUAGAGAUAAUAAUUCUAUGAUAAUCUACAAUGGCAUUUUUAUAUUUGAAAUUCUAUGUUCAGCCUUUAGACAUUAAUAUUUAUUGACAAAUGACAACUUAGUGAAAAAUAUACAGACUAUUGGUGUAUUAGUCUGUUCUCAUGCUGCUAAUAAAGACAUAUCUGAGACUUGGUAAUUUUAAAGGAAACAGGCUUAAUUGACUCACAGUUCUGCAGGGCUGGGGAGGCCUCAGGAAACUUACAAUCAUGGUGGAAGGGAAAGCAAACAUGUCCUUCACAGGGCAGCAGAAAGGAGAAGUUCCAAGUGAAAGUGGAGAAAGCCCCUUAUAAAACCAUCAGAUCUCAUGAGAACUCACUCACUAUGGUAAGAACAGCAGCACGGGGGUAACCAACCCCAUGAUUCAAUUACCUCCCACUAGGUCCCACCCUCAACAUGGGAUUAUGGGAACUACAAUUCAAGAUGACAUUUAGGUGGGGACACACCCAAACCAUAUCAAUUGGAAAGACUUGGACUUUCUCAUAUGUCAUAUGAGAAAUAGUUGAAGACUCAAAGGUUGCUAAACUGAUGAAAUGGAAAGUCUUGAGAAUACACUAUAGCUACCCUAAAUAAUGCAAUAGCUGUUAAAAUGACACAGCAAAAAAAGUGUGACUCUUAAUAAUAUAUCUAGGACAAACUAGUGGCUAUUUUAAUAAAAAGACUGUUAUUGGUUAUUGACCAUUGCUUUAGGUACAAUUAUAUACAGUGAAACACAUAUCUUAGGUGAAUUAGAUAGAUAUCUAAUGAGAAACACCAUUAGAUGAAUUUGACAGGUAUAUGCACUAAUGUAACAAACACACCAAUCAAGAUACAGUGUUAUUUCCAUCACAACAGAAAGUUGCCCUAUGACCACUUCCAGUCAAGUCCUAUUAACAUUGGCAAGCACUAUUCUGAUUUCUAUUACCAUAAAUUAGUUUGUGUGUGUGUUUUUAAUUUUAUAUAAAUGGAAUAAUACAUUAUGCACUAUUCUGUGUCAAAAAUCUUUUGCAGUUCAUUCUUCUUUACUGCUGUAUAGCAUAACACUGCAUUAAUGUUUAUUUAUUUAUUAUUUUUGUUCUAUCUUUUUUCCGUAGCAAAUUAUUACAAAACAAAAAUUGCCACCUCUCAGGGUCUGAGGGUUGCCUGGCUUAGCUGGAGAGUAUUCACUCAGGGUUUCUUCGGCAAUCACAGUAAGAUCGAAGCUGGGAUUGGAUAUCCCAAUUGGCUCAUUCACACAAGUGGCUGUGGAUGCUGAAUAUUGGCUGGGUUCUUAGCUGGGAGUGUCAACCAGUGUGCCUACACAUGGCUUUUCCAUGUGGCUUUGGCUUCUAUAGUAUAGGAGCUAGGAUCUGUAAGAGAAUAUAUCAAGAGACAGUGUUAUAAGGGACCAAAAAGAAAGCUGCAAGGAUUCUUUUGAAUUCAGAUUAGAAAUCAUAAAGCUUCACAAUUGGUGUAUUAUAUCAGUCAAAAUCAAAUCACAAGACCAGCACAAAUUCAAGGAAGGGGAACACAUAAGGACAGGGAUAACAGAAGGCGUGGUUUGUUGGGCAGUCAUCUUUAUGAACAAGUGACCACGUCAUUUUAUUGUUGAUUGAUUGUUUCCAGUUUUUGUUUAUUAUUGAUAAAGCUGCCUGGGUCAUUAUUAUAUAGGACCUUUUGAGGAUAUAUAUCUCAUUUCUCUUAAGUAUACACCUAGAAGUGUAAUGGCAUAGAAUAGGUACAGUUAAAAUAUAAAAGAAAAUACCAAUAGUUGUUCCAAAGCAGUUUUUACAAUUUUAAACCCCCAUCAGCAAUAUAUGAGAAUUUAGUUUCUCCACAUCCUUACCAAUAUUUUAUGUUAUGUGUCUUUUUAAUUUUAGUCAACCUACUAGGUAUGAACUAAAAUCUCAUCGUCAUUUUAACUAUAAUUUCCCUGGUGAAUAAUGAUCCUGAGGAUAUUUUAUGAGUUUAUUACUCAAUUAUAUAGUUUCCUUUGUGAAGUGUCUGUUUAAGUUAUUUUGUCCAUUCCUAUCUUUUUAUCUUUUUAUUCAGUUGUAGGAGGUUUCUGUAUAUUUUGAGUAUGAGUCCUUUGUCAGAUAGAUGUGUUGUGAAUAAUUUCUCCCAUUCUACAGAUCUUGUUUACAUUUUAUUAAGGAUAUUUUUUGAUGUUCAAAAGAUUUUAUUUUUGAUGAAGACUAAUAUAUUUGUUGUUGUUGUUUGGUAUAUGAUAAAUAUCGCAAGUACCCACAUUGCAAGCAAUUCUCUUAUUAUUUUUCAACGUUUCAUUAUUUUUCCUUUGAAAACACACAUAUUAAAAUAAAUAAUUCACACAUUUUAUAGAAUUGUGUUUUUUGAAAUGCUAUAUUUUAUGGAGCACUAAAAUGAAUUUGACAUCAACACAUUCAGGACCCCUGCACUAAACAGUACCAAGAUAUCAGCUGUCACUACUGUGUCAUGGAGAUUCACCCCUAAAAAUAUCUCACUCGAAAAUAAAGGAAUCAUUUUCAGAAGAACAAUGAAAUGAAAACUUGUUUUUUUAAGAGAAAGAAAAUGGACAAACCUUUAGCUAGACUAAGAAAAAAAAGAGAGAAAACCCAAAUAAAUAAAAUCAAGAAAAAGAGGACUUUAUAACUGAGACCUCAGAAAUAUAAAGAAUCAUUAGAGACUAUGACUAACAAUUUUACAUCAACAAAUUAAAAUACCUGGAUGAAACUGAUAAAUUCCUGGACAUACAACCUAUCAAUAUCGAACCAUGAAGAAAUAGAAAAACGUCAAUAAACCAAUAAUGACAUAUGAGAUCUAAGCCAUAAGAUCUCCAAUCAAAAAGAAGUCCAAGACUUGAUAGCUUCACUGGUGAAUACUACUAAAUAUUUAAAGAACUAAUAUCAAGUCUACUGAAGCUUAAAAAAAUAAUAAUAAAUGGUAGGGAAUUUUCCCCAACUUAUUCUAAAAGACCAGCAUUACCCUGACACCAAAAUCAAUCAAGAGCACAAAAAAUGAAAGAAAAUUACAGGCCAAUAUCACUGAAGAACAUAUUUGCAAAAAUGCAAAAAUGUUCAACAAAAUACUAGGAAGCUUAAUUCAACAAAACAUUUAAAAAAUCAACCACCAUUAUCAAGUGAAAUUCAUCUCAGGUUUACAAACAGGGUUUAACAUGUGCAAGUCAAUAAACAUGAGACAUGACAUCAACAGAGCAAAGAACAACAAAAAAAAGAUUGCUUCAAUAGAUGCUGAAAAAGCAGCUGAUAAAAUUCAACAUAUUGGUAUAAUAAAAAUACUUAGCAAACUGGAUUUAAAAAGAACAUACCUCAAGACAAUGAAGGCCAUAUAUGACAAAACAAACCCACAGCCAACAUCAUAUUGAAUAGGGAAAAAUAGAAAACCUUAUCUAAAAUCUGAAACAAGGCAAGAAAGCUAAAAUUUACCAUUUUUAUUCAACUUAAUAGAGUUAACUAGGCAAGUUAACUCUAUUCAACUUAAUAGAGUUAACAACUUAACAGAGUUACUAGGCAAGACAGAGAAAUAAAGAGCAUUCAAACUGGAAAAGAAUAAGUCAAAUUAAAUUUGUAAGCAGGCAACAUGGUCUUACAUUUAGAAAAACCUAAAAAUUCAAAAAAACUGUUAGAACUGGUCAAUGAAUUUAGUAACGUUGCAGGAUACAAAAUCAACAUAACAAAAAUCAGUAGCAUUUAUAUAUGCCAGCAGUAAAUAUCUGAAAAGAAAUCAAGAAACUAAUUUCUUUUACAAUAACUUCAAGUACACAAAAUAACUAUGAAUCAAUUUAACCAAAGAUGUGAAAAAUCUAUACAAAGAAAAUUAUAAAAUAGUGACUAAAGACAUUAAAGAGGAAACACAAAAAAUGAAAAUACAUUUUAUGCUCAUGGACUGCAUAAAUUAAUAUUAUUAAAAUAAAAAUACUACCCUGAGCAAUCUACAGAUUCAACGUAAUUCCUAUCCCAAUACCAGUGAUAUUCUUCACAGAAACAGAAAAAAAUUAUAAAAUUCAUAGCGAACAAAAACAAAGAUUUAGCCAAAGCAAUGUUGAGCAGAAAGAACAAAGCUUCAGGCAUCAUGCUACCUGAAUUUAGAAUAUUCUAGAAAAUUAUAGUAACCAAAACAAAUGGUACUGGCAUAAAAACAGACACAUAGACCAAUGGAACAGUUUCCAGAUAUAAACAAAACAAAACUGGAGGUAUCACACUACUUAACUUAUAAAUGUACUAUGAAACUAUAGUAACCAAAACAAGAUGGUACUGACAUAAAAACAGUCCCACAGACCAAUGGAACACAAUAGAGGUCCAAGAUAUAAAUCUAUGUAUUAACAGCCAACGUAUUUUUGACAAAGGUACCAAGAAUAUACAAUGAGGAAAGGACAUUCUCUUCAAUAGAUGGUGCUUGGAAAACUGGAUAACAUAUGUGGAAAAAUGAAGCUAGACUUCUAUCUCUCACCAUAUGUAAAAAGCAAAUGAAAAAUGGAUUAAGGAAUUACAUCUAACACCCGAAACUAUGAAACUACUAAAAACAGACUUUAGGGAAACACACCAAGACAUUAGUCUUGAUAGAGAUUUUUUUGUGAACAAUCUCAAAUCACAAGGAACAAAAGCAAAAAUAGAUAAAUGUAAUUGCAUUAAGCUAAAAAGCUUCUGCACAGAAAAAAAUCACCAAAAUGAAGAGACAACUCAAAGAAUACAAUAAAAUAUUUGCAAACUAUCCAUCUGACAAAUAAUUAAUAACCUGAGUAUUUAAGGGGCUCAAAGAACUAAAUAGCAAAAAAAAAAAAAAAAAAAACCCUCAAAACACAAACAAAAAAAAUAAUUUGGUUAAAAAAUGAGCAAAUGAUCUGAAUAGACAUCUCUGAAAAGAAUACAUACAAAUGACCAUCAAGUAUAUUUAAAAUUUGCUCAUCAUUCAUCAUUAAAGAAAUGCACAUCAAAACAAAAUGUCAUUUCACCCUAGUUAAAAUGCCUUUUAUCAAAGGCAGGGAAUAAUAGAUGCUGAGGAGGAUGUGGAGAAAGAGGACACUUGUAUACUUUUGGUGGGAACGUAAAUUGGUUGAUCCACUAUGGAAAAUGGUAUUAUGGUUCCCCAAACAACUAAAAACAGAACUACCAUAUGAUCCAGUAAUUCUACUACUGGGCAUAUAUCCAAAAGAAAAAAAAAUAUCAAAGAGAUAUAGGUACACCCAUGUAUAUUACAUCACUAUUCUUGAUAGCCAAAUAUGGAAUCAAUUUAAGUGUCCAUAAACAGAUGAAUAGAUAAAUAAAAGCUGAGGUGAGCAGAUCACGAGGUCAGGAGAUCGAGACCAUCCUGGCUAACACGGUGAAACUGUCUCAAACAAAAAAAAAAAAGAAAGUGAUAUGGCAUAUACACAAGACAUUAUCCAGCCAUAAAAAAUAAUGAAAUCCUUUCCUUUGCAGUGGCAUCAGUGGAACUGCAGGUCAUGAUGUUAGAUGAAAGAAGACAAGAACUGAAAGACAAAUAUCUCAUGUUCUCACUCAGACCUGGAAGAAAAAAUAAUGCAUAUCCAUGGAAUCAACCCAAAUUCCCAUCAAUGAUAGACCUGAUAAAGCAAAUGUGGUACAUAUAUAACAUAGAAUACUAUUCAGCCAUAAAAAUGAACAAGAUCAUGUCCUUUGAAGAGACAUGAAUGGAGCUGGAAGCCAUUGUCCUCAGCAAACACAGGAACACAAAACCAAAGAUCGCAUGUUCUUAGUUAUAAGUGGGAGCUGAACAAUGAAAACACAUGGAUACAGGGAGGAGAACAACAUACACUGGGGCCUGUCAUCGAAGGGAGGGGAGGGAGUACAUCAGGAUAAAUAGCUAAUGCAUGUGGGGCUUAAUAUCUAGGUGAUGGAUUGACAGGUGCAGCAAACCACCAUGGCACACGUUUUCCUAUGUAACAAACCUGCACGUCCUGCACAUGUAUCUUGUAACUUAAAAUAAAGUAAAACUUUUUAAAAAAGUGCAUAUCACGAAAGUAGAGGGUAGGCUGGUGGUGUUAGAGUCCAGGAAAGAUAGGGAAAUAGGAGGGAUAAUGAGAGGUUAAUUAAUGUGUACAAAUAUUCAUUUAAGUAGGAGAAAUAAGACCUGGUGUUUGAUAGCUCAGUAGAGUGAUUAUAAUUACUAUUAGUCAAUUGUACAUUUCAAAAUAUCUAGAAAAGAAUAUUUCUAAUGUUCCUAGCAUAAAUAAGUUUAUAGGUAUCUCAAUUACCCUCAGUUGAUUAUCUGAACGUAUCAAAUAAUCAAAUAUACCAUAAAAAUAUGUACAUCAAAUAGAUAUCAAUUUAAAAAUCUAACAAUGAAGAAUAUUUCACUUUGAUUGUUGUAACCAGUUAAUCAUCUGUGAUUUUUUAAAUAGAAAUAUUUACUUUAUUAUUAUUAUUAUUAUUAGUUUAUUUUUUGAGACAGGGUCUUGCUCUGUCACCUAGGCUGCAGUUCAAUGGUGCAAACACAGCUCACUGUAACUUUGACUCCUGGGCUCAAGUGAUCCUCCACCUUAGCCUCUCAACUAGCUGAAACUACAGGUACAUGCCACCAUGACUAACUAAGAUUUUGUCCUUUUUGUAGAGAUGAGGUCCUGCUAUGUUGCCCAGGCAGAUCUUGAACUCCUGGCUUCAAUUGAUCCACCCAUCUGGACCUCAAAAAGUGCUGGGAUUACAGGCAUGAGCCAGUAGGACUGGCCAUAAGUAGUUAAGUUUAAAAGUGAGUGGCUAUACAAGGGAUCCCAAGAAAAUGGGUUAAUCCAGUUUGAGAUAGAGUAGGUAGAGAAGACCUUGACAUACCUUGUAAUGCUAGAAAAUAAGAAUGUGAUCAAAAAAUGAUUAGGGCAUGUCACAAAGACAAAGAAGCCAAAUCUGGGAUAAUAUGAGUACACACGUAAUUAGAGUAAAUAUUUAAACAUUUCCAAGAUGGUAAUUAUUUAUACAUUUACAAAAAUCCAUUUAUUCAAAGUUGGAAAUCAUUUAUAUAUUUAUUAUCUGCAUAGAGAUAACAAUAAUAAAUAGGUAUAGAAAAAAGACAAUUAUACAGUAUGAAAUAAUAAAUAUAUAAAUAAAUAAAUAAUGGGGAGGGGAAUGCUCUUGUUUUACAGUAACAUUGCUAUCAUAAAUGUGUAUCAACACUGACUUGAUAGAUAUUGUAUACUUCCAGGCGUGUUACUCCAAAAAGGACACAACUUCACUUUUAUAGCAUUUUUUCAAAAAUAUAUAGUCUGGUUCUAAUCUUGUAAAAACAACGAACAGGGGAGCAAUCUUCUUCCAAAAAAGAACACUAUAAAAGAAAAAAUAAGAUGUGUACAUAUUCCAGAUUUUAAAAGGCAAAAUUUUUGACUAAUAAAUGAAAUACUUGACCUGAUACCAUAUUCGAUAUUGGAGGACAAAUGUAGCAAAGAAGUAUUUGGGAAUUAAAAUCUAUGUAACUUACUCUAAAAUGGUACAGAGAUAUAGAUAGAUAGAUGGAGCUAGAGUAGAAAUAGAGAUAUGAUUUAUGCAAGUUAUUUUCAUAUAGAUGAAAGAGAGAAGAAUGAUAAAAUAUUAACAAUAGGUGAAUCUGUGUUUAGGUACGUAAACAUAUGUUUCUCAUUUUUCCAACUGUUUUAAAAUUUUAAAUUACCUCAACAUUUUAAAAAGUUAAAAAAGUGAUCUGCAGGCCAGGUGCGGUGGGGUGGCUCAUGCCUGUAAUCCCAGCAAUUUAAGAGGCAGAGGCAGGCGGAUCACGAGGUCAGGAGUUCAAGACCAGCCUGCCCAGCAUGGUGAAACCCCAUCUCUAUUAAAAAUACAAAAAAUUACCCGGGCUUGGUGUAGAGCGCCUAUAAUCCCAGCUACUCAGGAGGCUGAGGCAGGAGAAUUGCUUGAAUCUGGGAGGUGAAGUCUGUAGUGAGCUGAAAUAGCACCACUGCACUCCAGCCUGGAGACAGAGCAACCUCUGUCUCAAAAAAAAGAAAAAAAGAAAAAAAAAAACUGCAGAGAAGUAAAGGUACAUGCUGUCAUUGUAAUUAUCAGUAUAACCAAGAGACAAAACUAAAAAGAAAAUUUUAAGUAAGGAGAUGAGUUGGGAGGGUGAUAUCACUGAUUUAAAUCCACAUCUAUUCUAGCAGGAGGUUAAGAAGAAGAAAAAAUAAAACUCUAAGCUCUAAACUCUAACAAACCAAAACCAAAUCACAACAUCACCAUAUUUUGGGGUAUCAGUGUUUACAGCCAAAGAGCUGCUCUCUUUCAGAAGCAGCAAUAUGAAUGGGAAAGAUUUAGACAAGGCACUACUGCACUUCACUGAAUCAUUAUUAUAAAUCUAAAUAUAUACGCAUAUACUCAAAAGCAAUCAAACUAUUCUGAAAGAUGGUGGUGGCCAUGGAGACAGAGAGAUGUGAAUUAUUUGAAAUAUAUUUGGGAAACUACAUUGAUAGAAAUUGGAAGCAAUGAGUGAAGUAAAAUCAGGCCUCUGACUUGGGGAAGCUGGGAGGAGAAUGGUAUGAUUCUCUAAGUUGGGAAACACCACAGAAGACAUAUUGUGAAGAGAAAUAAAACAAUUUAGUAUUCAAUCUACUGAAUUUCUGUUAUGUUUGAGGACAGGCAUUUCUUUUAGGAAGUUAGUAAUAUAGUUUGGAUAUUUUUUUCAUGCACAGAUCUCAUGUUUAAUUGUAAUUUUCAGUGCUGGAAGUGGGGCCUGGUGGGUGGUGUUUGGAUAAUGGAAGUGGAUCCCUCAUGGCUUAGUGCUGUCUUCAUGUUGGUGAGUUCUCAUGAGAUCUGGUCAUUUAAAAGUUUGUGGCCCCUCCCCACCCAACUUUCUCUCUGGCUCCUGCUUUUGUCAUGUGGUAUGCCUACUCUCAUUUGCCUUCCACCAUGAUUGUAAGCUUUCUGAGGCUUCCCUAAAAGCAGAUUUUGGCAUUAUGCUUUCUGUACAGCCUGCAGAACGAUAAGCCAAUUAAACCUCUUUUCUUAUAAAUUAUCUAGUCUCAGGAAUUUCUUUACAGGAAUGCAAGUAUUGCCUAAUACAGAAAAAUGGUGCUGAUGAAUGGGGCAUUGCUAUAAAGGUACCUGAAAAUGUGGAAAAGACUUUAGAACUGAGUAAUGGGCAGAGGUUGGAAGAGUUUGGAGGGCUCAGAAGAAGAUAGGAAGAGGAGGAAAAGUUUAGAACUCCUUAGAGAACUGGUUAAAUGGUUGUGAUCAAAACGCUGAUGGUAAUAUGGACAAGUGAAGUCUAGGCCAAAGAGGUCUCAGAUGUAAAUGAGAAAACUACUGGGAACUAGAGCAAAGGUCAUACAUGUUAUGCCUUAGCCAAGAGCUUGGCUGCAUUCUGUUGUUGCUGUAGGGAUCUGUGGAAGUUUGAACUUAAGAGUAAUGAUUUAGGAUAUCUAGCAGAAGGAAUUUCUAAGCAGCAAAACAUUCAAGAUUUGACCUGGCUGCUUCUAACAACACACUCUCAGAUCAGGGAGCUAAAAAAAUGGUGUAAAGCUGGAAUUUAUAUUUAAAAGUUAAGCAAAGCAUUAAAAAUUUGGAAAAUUUGCAGUCUGGCCAAGUGGCAAAGAAAGAAAAAGCUUUUUCAGGGGAGGAAUUGAAACAGGCUGUGGAACAACCACUUAUGUAAAAGAUUUAUGUAAAUAAAAAGGAGCCAAGUGCUAAUAUCUAAGACAAUAAAGAAAAGGUCUCAAAGGUUUUUGGGAGACCUUUGGGACAGCCCAGAGGCCUAGAAGGAAAUAAUGGUUUUGUGGGCCCGUCACAGGGGCUCUCUUCCCUCCUCAGCCUUGGGACACUGUUCCUUGCCUCCUGGCAGCUUCAGCACUAGCCAGGGCUCAACAGGGAACAGGUGCAGCUUAGAAUGCCACUUUGGAGAAUGCAAGCCAUAGCCUUGGUGACUUCCACAUAGUGUUAAGCCUCUAGGUGCACAGAAUGCAAGAGUGAAGAAUACUUGUCAGCCUCUGCCUAGAUUUCAGAAGAUGUAUGAGAAAGUCUGGGUGCCCAGGCAAAAGCCUGCUGCAGGAUUAGAACCUUCACAGGGAACCUCUACUAGGGCAGUUCCAAGGGGAAAUGAAGGAUUGGAAGCCCACACAGAGUCCCCUAUGAGGCACUGCAUAGUGGAACUGUGAAAGGAGGGUCAUCAUCUUCCAACCCCAGCAGCUUUCAUCCUGCAUCUGGAAAAGCCACAGCACUCAACAACCUGUGAGAUCAGCCUAGGGUGCAGAACCCUGCAAAGUCACAGGGACAGAGUUGCCCAAAGCCUGGGGAGCCCAUCCCUUGCAACAGUGUGCUCUAGAUGUAGGAUAUGGAGUCAAAGGAGAUUAUUUUGGAGUCUUAAGAUUUAAUGAGCAAGCCUGGCGCGGUG
This 10767-nucleotide long non-coding RNA is filed under the name Homo sapiens (human). RNAcentral's name for it is "non-protein coding lnc-PRR20C-9:1". Lineage: Eukaryota; Metazoa; Chordata; Mammalia; Primates; Hominidae. The record is from RNAcentral.